Molecule: small RNA, 96 nt
Filed under: Klebsiella quasipneumoniae subsp. similipneumoniae
Lineage: Bacteria; Pseudomonadati; Pseudomonadota; Gammaproteobacteria; Enterobacterales; Enterobacteriaceae
Also listed under: 1 other name
Description: partial RtT sRNA
Rfam family: RtT RNA
About the family: This family represents a bacterial cis-regulatory element known as RtT RNA. The exact function of RtT is unknown although it is thought that it may be involved in changing the cellular response in relation to amino acid starvation.
Source: RNAcentral
UAAGGUUCGACUCGAGCGUAGCGAGAGAACGUUGCCGCAGGCAACGGCCCGAAGGGCGAGGCGCUUUAGCGCCGAGUAAUCCUUCCCCCACCACCA